This 250-nucleotide ribosomal RNA is filed under the name uncultured bacterium. Its description in RNAcentral is "partial 16S ribosomal RNA". It matches the Rfam family "Bacterial small subunit ribosomal RNA", at positions 524 to 773 of the family's 1533-position model. The record is from RNAcentral.
UACGAAGGGGGCUAGCGUUGCUCGGAUUUACUGGGCGUAAAGGGCGCGUAGGCGGACAGUUUAGUCAGAGGUGAAAGCCCGGGGCUCAACCCCGGAAUAGCCUUUGAUACUGGUUGUCUUGAGUUUGGGAGAGGUAUGCGGAACUCCGAGUGUAGAGGUGAAAUUCGUAGAUAUUCGGAAGAACACCAGUGGCGAAGGCGGCAUACUGGCCCAAUACUGACGCUGAGGCGCGAAAGCGUGGGGAGCAAAC